RNAcentral lists this ribosomal RNA (204 nucleotides) under Triticum aestivum (bread wheat). Its description in RNAcentral is "partial small subunit ribosomal RNA". Lineage: Eukaryota; Viridiplantae; Streptophyta; Magnoliopsida; Poales; Poaceae. The record is from RNAcentral.
AUGACAUGCUCCCUGCAGAGCGGGCAGGUGCCCUUGCUCUUGAUCCACAGCGCAAGGCAGCCACGGUGGAACACGUGGUGGCACGCCGGCACCUCGCUGCACUCCGCACCGCCGACCAGCGCCUCCAAGCAGAUCGCGCACACCACAACCGACGCUCCGACCGUCCCUCGGCCGCCCUCUGCAUCGUCGGGGUACAAGAAGUAG